UGGAGCCGACCUUGAAAUACCACCCUUUAAUGUUUGAUGUUCUAACGUUGACCCGUAAUCCGGGUUGCGGACAGUGUCUGGUGGGUAGUUUGACUGGGGCGGUCUCCUCCUAAAGAGUAACGGAGGAGCACGAAGGUUGGCUAAUCCUGGUCGGACAUCAGGAGGUUAGUGCAAUGGCAUAAGCCAGCUUGACUGCGAGCGUGACGGCGCGAGCAGGUGCGAAAGCAGGUCAUAGUGAUCCGGUGGUUCUGAAUGGAAGGGCCAUCGCUCAACGGAUAAAAGGUACUCCGGGGAUAACAGGCUGAUACCGCCCAAGAGUUCAUAUCGACGGCGGUGUUUGGCACCUCGAUGUCGGCUCAUCACAUCCUGGGGCUGAAGUAGGUCCCAAGGGUAUGGCUGUUCGCCAUUUAAAGUGGUACGCGAGCUGGGUUUAGAACGUCGUGAGACAGUUCGGUCCCUAUCUGCCGUGGGCGCUGGAGAACUGAGGGGGGCUGCUCCUAGUACGAGAGGACCGGAGUGGACGCAUCACUGGUGUUCGGGUUGUCAUGCCAAUGGCACUGCCCGGUAGCUAAAUGCGGAAGAGAUAAGUGCUGAAAGCAUCUAAGCACGAAACUUGCC
RNAcentral lists this ribosomal RNA (618 nucleotides) under Escherichia coli. RNAcentral's name for it is "partial 23S ribosomal RNA". It matches the Rfam family "Bacterial large subunit ribosomal RNA", at positions 2181 to 2798 of the family's 2925-position model. Lineage: Bacteria; Pseudomonadati; Pseudomonadota; Gammaproteobacteria; Enterobacterales; Enterobacteriaceae. The record is from RNAcentral.